This 201-nucleotide unclassified non-coding RNA is filed under the name Hevea brasiliensis (rubber tree). The record is from RNAcentral. Lineage: Eukaryota; Viridiplantae; Streptophyta; Magnoliopsida; Malpighiales; Euphorbiaceae.
GUAGGGGAUGACAUGAGGAGAGGAAUCUCUGGUGGACAAAAGAAGCGUGUAACCACUGGAGAAAUGCUGGUUGGACUCACAAAAGCAUUUUUCAUGGAGCUGGACAGCUCCACUACUUACCAAAUUAUCAAGUUCAUGAGGCAGAUGGUUCGUAUCAUGGAUACUACAAUGGUUAUCUCUCUUUUGCAGCCUGCACCAGAG